UCCAGUCAUACGCUGUGGUCUCGCUCAUAAUCAAUGUAGACCUUGGCUCAGACAUGCAUUAGGAACUGCAAAUCCCAUUAAUAUCCUAAGACUUGUUCAGAGUUGUUGUUCAUGGCUUCUCUCUUUCAUUUCCUCCCUCUCUUAUUGGCUGGUGUUUAAGUACCAUGAGCUGGCAGAGAAACUACAGACUGCUCCGAGAGAGACAGACUCAGCUACGAGCUAAAACAGUCUCGCAUUAGGAAGCAGGAGACCCAGCCUUGUGUCUUAUAGGAUACCCAUGUGGUCUGCUGUACCCAGAGCACGAGCUGCAGCUCCGCCCGGGAGUCGGCCUUCCAGUGCCUGGGACAUGAGCCCUUCAGUUGCAUCGUUGGACGUGGUCAGAAUUUGUAGCUCCUUUAGCUUGGCUGCAUUUCAAUAGUGUAAAGCAGCAAUUAGUGUUCUAUAUACCAUUGUCGUCAUGGAGAUACACGGUGUGCAAGCUUUUGUUCCUGUCCAGUGCUGUAACACGACUGACUCAGUGAAUUGAUGGCUUGAUGGUUAGUUGAAUAAGGUGUAUGGUACUUGAUUGGAAUAAAAGCUUGCAAGCCCUGUGGAAUGACAUUUUUUUUUAUAUAACCUUUAUUUAAGUCAGUUAACAAAAAAAGAUUGUUUUCAAUGACAGCCUACCCUGGCCAAACCUGAACGACACUGGGCCAAUUGUGGCCUGCUGGAGGUCAUUUUGCAGGGCGCUGGCAGUGCACCUCCUUGCACAAAGGCGGAGGUAGCGGUCCUGUUGCUGGGUUGUUGCCCUCCUACGGCCUCCUCCAUGUCUCCUGAUGUACUGGCCUGUCUCCUGGUAGCGCCUGCAUGCUCUGGACACUACGCUGACAGACACAGCAAACCUUUUUGCCACAGUUCAGAUUGAUGUGCCAUCCUGGAUGAACUGCACUACCAGAGCCACUUAUGUGGGUUGUAGACUCCGUCUCAUGCUACCACUAGAGUGAGAGCACCGCCAGCAUUCAAAAGUGACCAAAACAUCAGCCAGGAAGCAUAGGAACUGAGAAGUGGUCUGUGGUCACCACCUGCAGAAUCACUCCUGUUUUGGGGGGUGUCGUGCUAAUUGUCUAUAAUUUCCACCUUUUGUCUAUUCCAUUUGCACAACAGUAUGUGAAAUUUAUUGUCAAUCAGUGUUGCUUCCUAAGUGGACAGUUUGAUUUCACAGAAGUGUGAUUGACUUGGAGUUACAUUGUGUUGUUUAAGUGUUCCCUUUAUUUUUUUGAGCAGUGUAUAAUACAAAUCCACAUUAUAUCAAAUCAAAUACAGACAUGUAGCGAACACAUUUUUGGAACAUUUGGAUUUGUAUAUGUUUUAAUGAUUGUAAAUACAGUACCAGUCAAAAGUUUGGACACAUACUCAUUCCAGGGUUAUAAUUUAUUUUUACUAUUUUCUACAUUGUAGAAUAAUAGUGAAGAAAUCAAAACUUUGAAAUAACAUAUGGAAAAUUGUAGUUACCAAAAAAGUGUUAAACAAAUCGAAAUAUUUUUGCGAUUGUUCAAAGUAGCCACCCUUUGCCUUGAUGACAGCUUUGCACACGCUUGGCAUUCUCUCAACCAGCUUCAUGAAGUAGUCACCUGGAAUGCAUUGCAAUUAACACGUGUGCCAUGUUAAAAGUUAAUUUGUGGAAUUUCUUUCCUUCUUAAGUAAAAAAAGAAAAUAAAAUAAAAGUAACAAAUAAUUAAACAUCGGCAGUAAAAUAACAAUAGCGAGGCUAUGUACAGGAGGUACCGGUACAGAGUCAAUGUGCAGGUGCACCAGUUAGUCGAGGUAAUAUGUACAGUAUACAUAUGACCACUACUAGCCAAUGUCCAUUGGUGUCCAUUGGUGUCCAUUUGAGUAAACAAAAAUUUCCCUUUGAAAUGGUGUGCUAAAUUGCAACGCCAGCUGAAUGAUUUAGUCCCGUGGACCAUGAAAAUGUCACUACCCACACAUUAAAAAAUAUAUCUAGUCCUCCUUGCGUGAAUGUGUUUCUUGAAUGAAUACAAGAUCUGUGUUGCAGUCGUUACAAACCAAAAAAAACAGGUUUCGUAUCCCCCAGGCAUUGAUUGACAAACUUAAAGUCCAUAUAUACAAAAUGGAAAGGAAACUCCUAUGCAGUCUCAACUUUUACGAGAUGUGUUUGUGCCGUCAUGUGCAGUAGUGUCGUGGAAAAUUGCGAGAUUAUGUUAUAGUGCUUGUAAGAUUAUUUUAUCAUCUUUGUAUUGCAUUAGAAUGGUUGUUUUAUUCGACAGAAUAGAAUCUGUUGACUAUUGUGUGUUCAGUGUUCCACUGAGGAUGGGCUUCUAUGAGAUAGCACUGACAGAGGAGAUUUACAAUGUCUUUGGCCAAUAAAUCCUAAAGAGCAUUCCAGAUAGUAAAGCUAAUAUUUUUGUACUAUGAAGUACCAGGAACGAGAUUAGAACCUCGUUUUAGACACUAAACUGAGCGAUAAUUUAUAGCGAAUGCAAUCUGGCUAAGGGAUACUCCUCUCUCAAGUAAAAGUCUUUCUUUGUGAACUUUCUUCGUGAACUAUUAUCUGUGGUUUGUCAUGUCGACUAGGGGGGUGGAUCUUUGCUAUAAAAGAUCUCAAUUGCCAUUAUGUUGGUACUCUCAGAAUUCAUUAUAGACACUGAAUUGAUCUGAGAGUCAAAGGGCUAUUGUAAAGCUCAUAUUAUUAAAGAUGACGUUUAAGUAUAA
Salvelinus fontinalis (brook trout) is the source of this 2712-nucleotide long non-coding RNA. RefSeq lists it as uncharacterized. NCBI's taxonomy places the organism in Eukaryota, Metazoa, Chordata, Actinopteri, Salmoniformes, Salmonidae. The record is from RefSeq and is a predicted model, not a curated record. The transcript is spliced from 2 exons.